This 60-nucleotide transfer RNA is filed under the name Ruditapes philippinarum (Manila clam). RNAcentral's name for it is "tRNA-Leu". Lineage: Eukaryota; Metazoa; Mollusca; Bivalvia; Venerida; Veneridae. The record is from RNAcentral.
AUUAAGUGGCAGAAAUAUGCAUCAAGUUUAAGCUUUGAAGAUGGGGUUUCCCCCUUAAUC